CGGCAGUGGAUUUCAACUUUAAGACUCAUUGAAGCACUCCUGUGAUUGACCCUCACAUUAUACAAAACUACUUUUUACAAUUACAGCUUUAUUUUAAUGGUAGGAUUUUUUAUUAUAAGUAUAUUUUUGUAUUUUUGUUUUUGUCCUGCAAUGCUUUGGCAAAGAUAGAACAGAGUUUUUCAGAUCUCCAGAUGAUCGAAGAACAUGGACAAGUAAUCUGUAUGAUUAAUUUGAAGCACAUAAUACUCAAUAUUUAUUUACUCUUUAUUUAAGAGAAAGAGCCAAUAAAAUGUUUUAUUAAAAGUUAUCAUGUUCAACCAAACCGUUGAGGUGGCUCAAUAUGAUUUAGAUCCAACUUUAUUUUCAGACUCAAAGUCCAUUAGCAAAACUUUUCAAAAAGACAAUACAUAACAGCACAGAAGUAGCACAAUGCACUUAAAAAGCCAGUUAAAACAAUGUUUUCUCAUAACUGAUAAUAGUGAAACAUCCAACCAACAAACAAAUGUAUACAUCAAAUUUCUUAUUAAACCAGGAAAGGAUUGCAUUUAUGUCUUACAGAACAAUUCAGGUGCACUGCUCCAUCUUGGUUUUUCAACAGGAUUGUGACCUGAAACUAUGGGCUCUCUUUUUAACUUAACCCACAGGAGCAGUAUAAAAUAAGCCAUUAAAGCCAUUAUUUUUAACACAUAAAAUUAACACAUAAAAAAUGGUCCCAUUCCUAUUUUUGUCUCAUCAGAUACAUUUUAUCCUCAUCUUUUUAUUUUUUACACUUGAUGGACAUUGACCCUUAACACGUCAAGUCAGCUCAACUAUACAAAAUAAAUAAAAUUUAGGGUCAAUAAGAACAAAAAACAUAUGUUGUUUUUAUGACCUGAACGAACUAAGAAAAGUGAAAAAGGAAAAAAACUGUUAAAUACAAUUUUUUUUGCUGUGACCUACAAAGGGUUAAAAUUAUAGCGGUGUGAUAUAAACAUUAUAUAAGAAUUAUAUGCAAACGUUUAAUUAUAUUGUCGUUUAUAUUUCACCAGUGAGGAAAUAUUUGUGUGCUCCCUGUUUGUUGAAAGUUUUGUUUUGGUGCUUAGUCACGUGUCAUUCACGGCUCAGGUGAUUGGCUCAGAAGAGUUUCCAGAUAUGGUUCGCUUCCUGAAAUUCCCCAUUAUGUGACCUGUUGCACGAAUGCGCGUAUAUGAGGCGUUCAGCAUGGAAUAAAGUAGCGUAAAGCCUAGAGCAGGCCAAAUUACACGGAGAAGUGCUUUUCACCGUCACAAGCAUACAUAGAUUGGCGGAUGACGUUGUGCUUCACACGUGUUCUUGAUUCCUGUGUUUGGUGUCAUACUGGAGCUGAGAGCACGCAGGUAAAGGCACACCCGCACCACCCUAACCCAGUCCCAUUGGAGUCAUCGAGUGCCUGUGGAGCUGAUGUGAUCCGCUGUAGGCGGACACCUGAGCGCCCAGUGGAAACGAAAUGCCGAAGGCCGGAGGAAGCAUCGGCUUGGUGGCCAUCUUCAGUUUCUCGAGUUCGGCCUCUUGGAGCCUCUUGGCUUUGGCUCGUCUGUUCUGGAACCAGAUCUUCACCUGAGUUUCUGUUAGAUUCAGUGAGCUGGA
Long non-coding RNA from Misgurnus anguillicaudatus (oriental weatherfish), 1605 nucleotides. RefSeq lists it as uncharacterized. The record is from RefSeq and is a predicted model, not a curated record. NCBI's taxonomy places the organism in Eukaryota, Metazoa, Chordata, Actinopteri, Cypriniformes, Cobitidae.